CUCGUAGGCGGUUCGUCGCGUCCGGUGUGAAAGUCCAUCGCCUAACGGCGGAUCUGCGCCGGGUACGGGCGGGCUGGAGUGCGGUAGGGGAGACUGGAAUUCCCGGUGUAACGGUGGAAUGUGUAGAUAUCGGGAAGAACACCAAUGGCGAAGGCAGGUCUCUGGGCCGUUACUGACGCUGAGGAGCGAAAGCGUGGGGAGCGAACA
RNAcentral lists this ribosomal RNA (207 nucleotides) under uncultured bacterium. RNAcentral describes it as "partial 16S ribosomal RNA". It matches the Rfam family "Bacterial small subunit ribosomal RNA", at positions 568 to 774 of the family's 1533-position model. The record is from RNAcentral.